RNAcentral lists this ribosomal RNA (768 nucleotides) under uncultured bacterium. RNAcentral describes it as "bacterial SSU rRNA". It matches the Rfam family "Bacterial small subunit ribosomal RNA", at positions 8 to 794 of the family's 1533-position model. The record is from RNAcentral.
AGAGUUUGAUCCUGGCUCAGGAUGAACGCUGGCGGCGUGCUUAGCACAUGCAAGUCGAACGAUUAACCCGCCCUCGGGCGGUUAUAGAGCGGCGAACGGGUGAGUAACACGUGACCAACCUGCCCCCUGCUCCGGGACAACCCAGGGAAACCUCGGCUAAUACCGGAUACUCCGCGCAGCCCGCAUGGGGGGCGCGGGAAAGCUCAGACGGCAAGGGAUGGGGUCGCGGCCCAUUAGGUAGACGGCGGGGUAACGGCCCACCGUGCCCGCGAUGGGUAGCCGGGUUGAGAGACCGAUCGGCCACAUUGGGACUGAGAUACGGCCCAGACUCCUACGGGAGGCAGCAGUGGGGAAUUUUGCGCAAUGGGGGAAACCCUGACGCAGCAACGCCGCGUGCGGGACGAAGGCCUUCGGGUUGUAAACCGCUUUCAGCAGGGAAUAUAGUGAAGGUACCUGCAGAAGAAGCUCCGGCUAACUACGUGCCAGCAGCCGCGGUAAUACGUAGGGAGCGAGCGUUAUCCGGAUUCAUUGGGCGUAAAGCGCGCGUAGGCGGCCCGUCAAGCGGGGUUUCAAGUCCAGGGGCUCAACCUCUGGCCGGACCCCGAACUGGCGGGCUCGAGUGCGGUAGAGGAAGGUGGAAUUCCCAGUGUAGCGGUGAAAUGCGCAGAUAUUGGGAAGAACACCGAUGGCGAAGGCAGCCUUCUGGGCCGCCACUGACGCUGAGGCGCGAAAGCUAGGGGAGCGAACAGGAUUAGAUACCCUGGUAGU